RNAcentral lists this long non-coding RNA (1230 nucleotides) under Olea europaea (common olive). Its description in RNAcentral is "long non-coding RNA (OEUR_LNC012935)". The record is from RNAcentral. Lineage: Eukaryota; Viridiplantae; Streptophyta; Magnoliopsida; Lamiales; Oleaceae.
UCCUACCAAGCCUUCUCUCUUUUCUUAUGGAUAACAUAGAGCUCUAUAUAGUAUCCCCCUCCCUACUAGGACAGGUUUGGAAGCUAGGACUGAUUAGACCGUACUGUACAUCCUCUUCUGGGCAUCGUCAUCGAUCCCUAAGACCCUCUUAUGUGCUACGUCCUACUCCUACUGCAGAUAGAUGCCGACCCGCUUGACUGCUUGACUUUGCCUGCUUUCCUGUCUCAACAAUAAGAUAAGAAAGGAAAUCAGUCCCUAAGCUGCCUAAUUCCUUAUCCUCCGUAUAGUCAAGGGCCUAUUCUCUUUAUUCUCUCCCUCACCUCUGUGCGCACCGGUAAUUCCUUCACAGUUCAAACUCCCUUUGACUGCUAACUCUUAGCAAUAUCCUUUCUUAUAUACUUGCAGUUCAGUUCCAAACCUUAGGGCAAUGAUAAGAUAAAGAACCGCUCCGCACCUUCCCUAUGUGCAAUGCGAGAAGUUCCUUGGUUUAUAGAGGUAAAUCAGUCAGACAUGCCAUGUUCAGUCUAAUUGCCCUAUAGGUCUUACAGACUAACUCUUCCUAGUGUCAGAGCUAAUCGAAUUGGGAUACCUUAAAUAGUCAAGAUCUUUCCCCUAUGUCAGUUGGAUUCGUGAAAAGAGAACAGCUCCUUCUUUGCAUCAGUUACCUUUCAAGGCUUUGGCUAGGAAGAAUAGGCAGCUAUUGAAUCCGGGGCUAUGGACUCAGCCGUUGCACAUAACUUAAAACAAUGCCAAUUACCAGUCGCAGUAGCAAUAGGAUAAGGCACGCAAGGUGACGAAGGAAAGGCAGAAGUCCCACAGCGUUUACGCCGACAACAGCCUAUUCUGUGCAUUGUCUCAUUGAUCCGAUUUGCAAACAACCUAUUUUAUUUUGACUAACAACCUAAAAGGCGACAACAGCUCUUAGUCCAACAACAGCUAGAACAGUAGCAGGGAAUUCAAUAGCAGUUCCUUCUGUGCUCGUGGCUAUUUCUACUAUUGAUAGGGACAUUGGCUUCAUUCCUAUCCAAAGAGCUCAUGUGCAGCAGAUUCUUCCACUUCACUUUCUAACAGGGCAUUCGAUUCAGCCUAGUCUUCCACCGCUUGGCCAGUUUCACUAAAGGGCCUUUUCUUGUUAUUGCCAAUCCCCAGAAGACCUCUUGAAAGCAUUCUUUGAAAGCCUCAAUUCCGAUUCUGUUCUUUCAUUCCCACUGAAGAGAAAGUAGAAUGCCU